Small nuclear RNA from Suncus etruscus (white-toothed pygmy shrew), 110 nucleotides. NCBI's taxonomy places the organism in Eukaryota, Metazoa, Chordata, Mammalia, Eulipotyphla, Soricidae. The record is from RefSeq and is a predicted model, not a curated record.
GUGCUCGCUUCAGCAACACAUAUACUAAAAUUGGAACGAUACAGAGAAGAUUAUUAGCAUGGCGCCUGCGCAAGAAUGACAAGCAAAUUCAUGAAGCAUUCCAUAUUAAA